This 1328-nucleotide long non-coding RNA is filed under the name Drosophila guanche. Lineage: Eukaryota; Metazoa; Arthropoda; Insecta; Diptera; Drosophilidae. The record is from RNAcentral.
CAAACAAAUUCUCAGAAAUUUUUUGCUUAUGUAUGCAUGUUAUGUGUACAUAUUUAUUGAAUUAAUCGCAAUCUCAUCAUUAAUGUGCAUUGUGUGCGAGAGUGUAUGCACACAUAUGUACAUACAUAUGUACAUGUACUGCACGGGAUGAAUGUAUUGCGCUCAUAUUGUACUUGUACAUUAUUCGUCAUGCAUUCGGCCGCAUUUGAACCCGCAUAUUCUUACACAUUUAUAUCUUAGUGGAGUGACGAUUUCUGUGGGAUUGCUUAGGGAGACUCUGUUCAGGAUUUUCCUGUAAGUUAUUAUAAAUAGGCAGACCGUAGAUGUAGGUGAAUCAAAACCAAACCUCUCUUCACGUGGCUUUUCGCUUCUCUUUUGUUAUCUUAACAGACAGUGGCGAUCUUUUACAGUUAUAUAGCAUGCGUACAUAUACGUGUGUAUAUAUAUGUAAAUAUGUAUAUGUAGAUAAAACGAGUAAGAACGUUUGUGAGACGCUUCGCAUGCGUCACAACCUUUUUACGCGGUACUCAGUCAGUAUAUCUGUACCUUAGUGGUUUUUUCGAAUAUUACAUUUUUCUACGCCUGUAAUCCAAAUUACUUUGCCUUUUUAGGUCGCCACCCUCUGCCGCUUCAUGAGGUAGAGUGUGCAAACCAGAAAGAAAAACGAGAAGGGACGUGUGAGACGCUUCUUAUGUGUCACAACUUUUAUACCCGGCACUCAGUACUACAUUUGCACCUUAGCGGUGUUUUGUUAAAUUUUAAAUAUUUUCUUCAACUGUGAUCUACAUCUACAACACUGCUCACACCAACACGCUCCUUUAGCUCGCCGCCCUUCCGAUACCCACACACGGCAGAGGGAGGGCAGAGACAGAGACCGAGUGAAGCAGAAGUAGAAUGUGAAAAGAACAACAACAGCUGCGGGACAGGGUGGGUGGCCACUGGAAAUUAAUUUCUGCAUUGUGGCUAUAAUAAUGAUCCGAUCGGAUUGGUGAUCUGAUAGAUAUGGCCAUUUCCAACGGAAUUGCGUUUUUAGUUUUCUUUUAUCUUCAAGGGCGUGGCUCAUUUUUUAAAUACACUGUUUUCAGUGUGAGCAUACAGCAGUCCGGAGUCAAAAUUUGGUGGCUCUAGCUCUUAGUCUCUGAGAACUAGCCGACAAACAAGACGGACAGACGGACAGACAGACAUGGCUCUAUCGACUCGGCUAUUGAUGCUGAUCAAGAAUAUAUAUACUUUAUGGGGUCGGAAACGCUUCCUUCUGUGCGUUACAUACAAACGUUAUUCGCACAAAUACAAUAUACAAUAUACAAUAUUUACUCUUUGAGUACCGG